GGCAGGUGAGGUGUGGGAGACGGGACUAUUCUGGCAGGUGAGGUGUGGGAGACGGGACUGAUCUGGCAGGUGAGAGGUGGGAGACGGGACUGAUCUGGCAGGUGAGGUGUGGGAGACGGGACUGAUCUGGCAGGUGAGGUGUGGGAGACGGGACUGAUCUGGCAGGUGAGGUGUGGGAGACGGGACUGAUCUGGCAGGUGAGGUGUGGGAGAAGGGACUGAUCUGGCAGGUGAGGUGUGGGACAAGGGACUAUUCUGGCAGAUGAGGUGUGGGAGACGGGACUGAUCUGGCAGGUGAGGUGUGGGAGAAGGGACUAUUCUGGCAG
Molecule: long non-coding RNA, 325 nt
Organism: Oncorhynchus tshawytscha (Chinook salmon)
Lineage: Eukaryota; Metazoa; Chordata; Actinopteri; Salmoniformes; Salmonidae
Source: Ensembl